AGGUCAUGAUGGGGCAUUUUCUGAUGAGGUCCUUUAAUCUUCCCCAUGAUUCAUGGAACUGCUCACCAUCUUGCUGCGAGAAGCUAGUGAGAGCUCAUCUUAUCU
Molecule: small nucleolar RNA, 105 nt
Filed under: Cephalotus follicularis
Lineage: Eukaryota; Viridiplantae; Streptophyta; Magnoliopsida; Oxalidales; Cephalotaceae
Description: Plant small nucleolar RNA R71
Rfam family: Plant small nucleolar RNA R71
About the family: R71 is a member of the C/D box family of snoRNAs containing the C (UGAUGA) and D (CUGA) box motifs. Multiple nearly identical copies of this snoRNA have been identified in Arabidopsis, and it is thought to function as a 2'-O-ribose methylation guide for 18S ribosomal RNA.
Source: Rfam by way of RNAcentral